Molecule: ribosomal RNA, 490 nt
Filed under: uncultured bacterium
Lineage: Bacteria
Description: partial 16S ribosomal RNA
Rfam family: Bacterial small subunit ribosomal RNA
Source: RNAcentral
GAUGAACGCUAGCUACAGGCUUAACACAUGCAAGUCGAGGGGAAACGCUGAGAGAGCUUGCUCUCUUAGGCGUCGACCGGCGCACGGGUGAGUAACGCGUAUCCAACCUACCCAUUACAGGGGGAUAACCUUGCGAAAGUAAGACUAAUACCCCAUGGCAUUUUAUGGUGGCAUCAUUAUAGGAUUAAAGAUUUAUUGGUAAUGGAUGGGGAUGCGUUUGAUUGGGUUGUUGGCGGGGUAACGGCCCACCAAGGCAAGGAUCAGUAGGGGUUCGGAGAGGAAGGUCCCCCACAUUGGAACCGAGACACGGUCCAAACUCCUACGGGAGGCAGCAGUGAGGAAUAUUGGUCAAUGGGCGAGAGCUUGAACCAGCCAAGUAGCGUGCAGGAUGACGGCCCUAUGGGUUGUAAACUGCUUUUAUAGGGGAAUAAAGUGAGCUACGUGUAGUUUAUUGCAUGUACCCUAUGAAUAAGGACCGGCUAAUUCCGUG